AGAGGAAGAGACGCAGGUACAGAGGACACAGAGCGGGAUGAGAGGAAGAGACGCAGGUACAGAGGACACAGAGCGGGGUGAGAGGAAGAGACGCAGGUACAGAGGACACAGAGCAAGAUGAGAGGAAGAGACGCAGGGACAGAGGACACAGAGCAAGAUGAGAGGAAGAGACGCAGGUACAGAGGACACAGAGCUGGAUGAGAGGAAGAGACGCAGGUACAGAGGACACAGAGCAAGAUGAGAGGAAGAGACGCAGGUACAGAGGACACAGAGCGGGAUGAGAGGAAGAGAUGCAGGUACAGAGGACACAGAGCG
Long non-coding RNA from Oncorhynchus tshawytscha (Chinook salmon), 315 nucleotides. Lineage: Eukaryota; Metazoa; Chordata; Actinopteri; Salmoniformes; Salmonidae. The record is from Ensembl.